Corvus hawaiiensis (hawaiian crow) is the source of this 1422-nucleotide long non-coding RNA. RefSeq lists it as uncharacterized. NCBI's taxonomy places the organism in Eukaryota, Metazoa, Chordata, Aves, Passeriformes, Corvidae. The transcript is spliced from 4 exons. The record is from RefSeq and is a predicted model, not a curated record.
UGAUUACUGCUCAGCCCUAACAAAGUUUGGAAGGACCUGUGACAGUCACCUUGUCUAAACUGUUGCUCAAAGCGGGGAUUAUACAUUGGGAAACAUGAGGAGAGGGUCGGUCUCUUCUCCCAGACAUCCCAACUCCUUCUGCAAUUGGAGGGCGAGCUAGAAUAAACAAGCAUGGGUUUUGGGCCCAAAACUGGAAGAGGAGCCCUAAUUCUUGCUGUGGAUGGUAAAUGUGGUCCCUGGGGUGAGGAGAGCUGGCUGUUCCUGGGACUGACUACAAGACGUACGAGGCUGGAAGGGAUAGCCUGAACCUCAGCUUUCCAAGAUAACCUCCACCUCACAGCUCAGUGUGCUGAAGCCUCAGACCUCACAACCACGUGGGAGCACAGAAGAGAUCCAGCUGCAAACUCAAAUUCAGACAAACUUCUAAGUAACACCAUGGCCAGGGAUGGCUUCACUUCGACCUGUAACUGAUCAAUUUUCAUAAGGCCCAAAUACCUAGAAAGUCAAAAAAAAGGCAAACAUACUUUUUAUAAUAAAUUUUUGAAGUUUACCUACACCCACAUCCCUGGGUGACCUACAAGUUGAUUCACUCAGGAGCUAUGUGAUGCAGCUACUGGAGGGAAUACCAGUGGACCUCUGCAGCAUAGGUCCAAGGCUGCCUGAACCCACUCAUUCACCUGAACUUGCCUCACAUCCAUGCUGGGUGGACACAAGCUAGGAGGCAACAUAUUUUUUUUUUGUGACUGAAUGCCAGGAGCAAAACCCUGGGUGGCGUGGGUCAAAGUGUACAGCAGCAUGUACCAACCACACAUGGAAAGAGCGUCAGACAGGCACUUGUCCCGUGCUUCCAGGAUCCCUCCAUUUGCUGCCCACGGUGAGACGUGUUUUAGAUCAUAUCUCUAACCAGCUUGCAUGGAGUAAAUGGUUCCAUGUCUUGGUGCAUUUCUAGGUCCUUCCCUGCAGUGCCUGUCCCAGUGCUGGUGUUGCUCUGCCUUUGUUGGGAUGGGUCCUCUCCCCAUCCCAACAAAGGAGAAGGCCAAACACAUCCCUCCUUGCUGGUCACCUGGCCAGAGCAGUACAUGGCAGAGUCCCUGUCAUUACAAAUUUGCUCCUUCCCAAAAGACAGGAAUGGCUGUUGCUACUUCCUACAGGAAGGAUUGUAACUUUACCUGUAGAAAGUUACACACGUCACAGCCAAGCACAGCUACAGCUCCAGCGCGUGCCUCCAACCACACCGUGCGCUUAACCAAAACCCAUUCCAAGUCAAGAUAAACUGAAAUGAAAUCCAUGGAAUAGUUUACUCAAUGCAAUUAGAGCAGAUCAGGUUUAAUUUCCCACUUAGCUUACCAUGGCAAUUGCUCAGCACCACCAAUACAGCCCCCUCCACUUGUGAACAAAGCACUUUGCUGCUGAUUCUUUUCC